ACCUCUCUCUCUCCCCUGUGCUCUUCGCCGCCGCCGCCGCUGCCGCCGCCCUGCCUCACCCCAUCUCCUUCCCUUGGCCGGCGCUCCACCCAUCCGCUCUCCCCACCGCCCCCUCUCAUCUCUCACAUCGCCUCCUCCUCCUCUCGCUCCUCGCCUUCCACGCCGUCCCCGCCACUAUCGCCGCUCCUCCUAUUCUUCCUUGUGCCCCCUUCCAUCCCCUCCUGUGGCGGACGAUCCUCUCGACGAUGGAUGUGGGAGAGGGAGAAUCCGGGAAGGUGGGCGGGUCCGGGUCAACAUAGGGUCGAUUUCGAGGCCUCUCAUGGCCGCGCCCACACCACCUGUGCUCCUCCCCUCCUGCGGCGCAGCUGCUGCUUCUGGAGCUCUGUUCGGAAAGGAAUACGUCUAGCCGCCGGCCAAUGGAAGGCCCUCAUCGGCCUCGCGCCUCCGCCGGCCUCCAAUCCCACGCAUCCAGCCCCUGAUUCGUGCACGCGGCAAAACGGCCGCUGCUGCCGGAGCGCCAUUCGUCAGCGAGGAGGCCCAGAGUGACACCGCCGCCGGCGCCGGUGCUCCCCAACGUAGCCACUCCGACGACGGCCAGGAUUGUUACUAUCUGUCUCAAGUUCCUUGAAGUCAUGUACAUGCUCAUGCCCGCGUCUGAUUUGUUCUCGUGGUCGUGUUCCUGCCGUAGCUGCGUCCACGGUUGUGCAGAUGGCUUCUAUCACCCUUGCUGAUCUAUGUUGUGGAAGACAAAAUCAAAUGCUAUGUGUCCGGGUGUCUCGGCUUACGCACUUCCGCAGCGGUUUAGAGAGCGGUCCUAUCAAGCUCAUACACAUGGUCAUCAUCGACGUGCAGGGUAACUGCAGUUAUGCAGUUGUACCAACAUCAUUUGCCGGUGCUUAUUUACAUGUCUUACAAGAGCGGAUUAUCUAUAAGCUUGGCUACUUGAUGGUCUGGCCACUGCUAAACAUACUGAAUCCUGCUGCAGCUCCACGCAUGAGUUUAUCUUAGGUACCACUGAAAUUUAACUAAUAAUACGUAGCAUCUUGCCACCUAACAGAUUCAUAUGUGGUCACUAAAUUCAAUGUCUAUAAACUUUUCUGUACACAUAUACAGUUAGCAUAUUGAUUGCAUUCUCUACUCUCAUAUGGUGUUGUAUCUUCAACUACUUGCAGAUAUAUAUUUUCUAACUUGGUUUAGUUUUAUUAAUGUCUCGCCAAGCAUGAUGGAUGCUUGCUGAAAGGGGCAUUGUCUGUACUUUUCAUAGUGCAAAACGACAUGUUAUGGCAAGAUUGAUCGUUUGGUAGAAUGAUUACUCCUGCAUUAUAGCGCUACCUAUGAAAAUUGAAAGGAAGAGUUGUGGUGGUAUCACGUGGAUGAUUUUCGGAUUAUUAGUUUGCCUCUCAAUGAUUUGUUCAAUAUUGGAGGGUCAUUUGCUGAGACUUGGUUUGUGCCAUGACGUUCUUUUGAAUUGCUAGUACACUUUUCUUUGUGAUAUUUCUUUACAUUUGCCUAUGAAAAAAGGCGCUACGUAAAUUCCAGUUUUACCUGAGAUAAACUAAUGGUGUUGUAUCUCGUAUGUCCUGUUGAAUAGAAGGAAUCAAGGAAAUGAUGGCGUUAGUCUUGAUCUGGGGAAGUGUUCAGUUCACGUAUAGGAUAUAUGCCAUUGAUACCAGUACAACACAGUUUUUGUUUGUUGCAAGGUAGCCUCUCUUUUUUAUUUGCUGGUUCCUCAGACCACUACCUUUUCUUCUUUAGAACUUACUCCAAGUGACAAGUACUGAUAAGCAUAUCCCUCAGAUCACUACAUUUCCUUUAGAACACACACAACAUAUCCAGACACACUCGGGUAUCACCCUCUCAUACACAUGGGUAAUACUCAAGAUGGCAAUGGGGACGAAACCCAUCGGGGUUUGCCUUCCCAAACCCAUCCCCACGAGAAAAUCAUAAACCCGUCCCCAUCCCCAUCACCAUGCGCGGGGCUAGUUUUCCGCCCGUCCCCUAAACCCAUCGGGUUUCGGGGAACCCACGGGGGACCCACAAGAAAAUCAAAAUAUUUAAACAAACAUAGUGGCGACAAAGAAUAACAUUUCAGCAGCAAAACAAGCACAUUUCAGCAGCAUAACUUGAGCAAAUUUCAACAAAAAACAAUAUUAGAUGGUUCAACAGCUAUAUAGAAUGUAUUUCAGCAGCAUGACACCACAUUUCAGCAACAAAAAUGAUCAGAUUUCAGCAAGAAAGAUGAUAAGCCAUACAUGGUUCAACAAGAUGUGCAAUUACAUAAGUUUUAAAAUAGAAUUCUUGGUUUGGCCUUCAACGUUGGGGGGUGGGGGCUCGGUCGCUCAGGCUCGAUAGCUUUGGUUUGGGCCGCACCGGAUCAGUGCUUGGUAAAAAAUGUAUUUUCCUGGGUUUGCCGGGUUUCGGGUUCGGGGACUGCUGAAACGGGUGCAAACCCACGAAACAUGUCGGGUUGUAUAAUGUGCCCAACAACAGCCCCACGGGGAUGAAAAUAUGCCCAUCCCCGUCCCCUAAUAGGGUAAAAACCCGCGGGGACGCGGGUUUCGGGGCCCCAUUGCCAUCUUGAGGUAAUACCCUCUAUCUCUAACAGUAUGCAGACAUAUUUUCUCUUUGCCUGUUCAAUUUCUUUCUCGUUGCUCUUCAGUUGAUCAAUUCGAACAUGGUACCCCAUGCCCACGAUAUACUCAUCGUCACUGUUCCGAUUCGCCCGACCCCAACGACUCAGCUACUUCCUAUCACCACCUGGUACUCCUCUUUGCUUGAUGCUCCUGCGCUGCUUAUUGUGCUCGCCGUUGCUGAUGUAUUUAGUUUCAUGCAUUAUGGUUCAGUGGGUGUCUAGAAGACUUGGUAGAUUUUAGUAAAAUGACCUAUAUAUUGGUUUCAGAACAUAGCGAGACUAUGUCCUGAUAUAUUUGGCUACUUUUAUCUUUUUGCAUCAGUUCUGAGUCAGGGUGGACACGGUCCGGGCCGGUCCGGUCCCUGACCGAGCCGCCGUUUGGACCGGCCGGCGGCGGACUGAACCGGACCGGACCGAGCAGCGCGGCGGUCUCCUUUUCCUGCACCGGACCGGCGGAGGUAAAGCUCGGGCCGGACCGAGAGGACCGCCCAUGGCGGCGGCGGCGGCGACGUGGUGACCACGGCAGCGGCGACAGACGACUCCGGCGAGCUCCUGGACAUGAUGAAGACAACUGCCUGGUCGAGAUCGGCGACGACGAGACGCGGUGGCGCCGGCCAGGGCGCAUCUGUUAGCCGCUCAUGUUUGUUGCUGCAGCUUUUCCGUUACAUGCAAGUAUUUUAGCGCGUCCAUGAGCCCACGAUUUCGUGUGUGGUGGCAUUGCUGUGAUUAGUGGAUCAAUUUUGACGUGGAGAUAGUCGUGGGAUGACGCCUUAAUUAACGGAUCGAACCUCGCUUCUUUUGCGGUUUCUGUUAUC
Long non-coding RNA from Triticum dicoccoides, 3447 nucleotides. RefSeq lists it as uncharacterized. NCBI's taxonomy places the organism in Eukaryota, Viridiplantae, Streptophyta, Magnoliopsida, Poales, Poaceae. The record is from RefSeq and is a predicted model, not a curated record. The transcript has 4 exons.